Molecule: ribosomal RNA, 1553 nt
Filed under: Pseudarthrobacter oxydans
Lineage: Bacteria; Bacillati; Actinomycetota; Actinomycetes; Micrococcales; Micrococcaceae
Description: partial 23S ribosomal RNA
Rfam family: Bacterial large subunit ribosomal RNA
Source: RNAcentral
GACACCCCUUGUGGGUGAAGGGUUUUGGUGGAGCGCGGGACCUGAUCCUGGGAGGCAAGCGUAUUAACAGGUGUGACGCAGGAAGGUAGCCGAGCCGGGCGAUGGUUGUCCCGGUCUAAGGAUGUAGGGCGAACGGUAGGCAAAUCCGCCGUUCAUGAUGCCUGAGACCCGAUGGGACUCCCGUAAGGGGGGAUUCGGUGAUCCUAUGCUGCCUAGAAAAGCAUCGACGCGAGGUUUUAGCCGCCCGUACCCCAAACCGACACAGGUGAUCAGGUAGAGAAUACUAAGGCGAUCGAGAGAAUUAUGGUUAAGGAACUCGGCAAAAUGCCCCCGUAACUUCGGGAGAAGGGGGGCCCCCAUCGUGAUGGACACUUGCUGUCCGGAGCGUGCAGGGGCCGCAGAGACCAGGGGGAAGCGACUGUUUACUAAAAACACAGGUCCGUGCGAAGUCGCAAGACGAUGUAUACGGACUGACUCCUGCCCGGUGCUGGAAGGUUAAGAGGACCGGUUAGCCGCAAGGCGAAGCUGAGAAUUCAAGCCCCAGUAAACGGCGGUGGUAACUAUAACCAUCCUAAGGUAGCGAAAUUCCUUGUCGGGUAAGUUCCGACCUGCACGAAUGGAGUAACGACUUCCCCGCUGUCUCAACCAUAAACUCGGCGAAAUUGCAGUACGAGUAAAGAUGCUCGUUACGCGCAGCAGGACGGAAAGACCCCGAGACCUUUACUAUAGUUUGGUAUUGGUGUUCGGAGUGGCUUGUGUAGGAUAGGUGGGAGACGUUGAAGCCCGGACGCCAGUUCGGGUGGAGUCAUCGUUGAAAUACCACUCUGGUCACUUUGGACAUCUAACUUCGGCCCGUAAUCCGGGUCAGGGACAGUGCCUGAUGGGUAGUUUAACUGGGGCGGUUGCCUCCUAAAAAGUAACGGAGGCGCCCAAAGGUUCCCUCAGCCUGGUUGGCAAUCAGGUGUCGAGUGUAAGUGCACAAGGGAGCUUGACUGUGAGAGAGACAUCUCGAGCAGGGACGAAAGUCGGGACUAGUGAUCCGGCGGUACAUUGUGGAAUGGCCGUCGCUCAACGGAUAAAAGGUACCUCGGGGAUAACAGGCUGAUCUUGCCCAAGAGUCCAUAUCGACGGCAUGGUUUGGCACCUCGAUGUCGGCUCGUCGCAUCCUGGGGCUGGAGUAGGUCCCAAGGGUUGGGCUGUUCGCCCAUUAAAGCGGUACGCGAGCUGGGUUUAGAACGUCGUGAGACAGUUCGGUCCCUAUCCGCUGCGCGCGCAGGAAAUUUGAGAAGGGCUGUCCUUAGUACGAGAGGACCGGGACGGACGAACCUCUGGUGUGUCAGUUGUACUGCCAAGUGCACCGCUGAUUAGCUACGUUCGGAUGGGAUAACCGCUGAAAGCAUCUAAGCGGGAAGCUCGCUUCGAGAUGAGAUUUCCAUACACCUUGUGUGUGAGAGGCCCCCAGCCAGACCACUGGGUUGAUAGGCCGGAUGUGGAAGCGAGGACUAACGACUCGUGAAGCUGACCGGUACUAAUAGGCCGAUAACUUACACCAC